Long non-coding RNA from Ochotona princeps (American pika), 1179 nucleotides. RefSeq lists it as uncharacterized. Lineage: Eukaryota; Metazoa; Chordata; Mammalia; Lagomorpha; Ochotonidae. The transcript has 5 exons. The record is from RefSeq and is a predicted model, not a curated record.
GAGAGGUGAGCAUUUGGACAGUGGUUAGGACACUGGGCUGGGAUGCCUGCAUCCCACAUCCGGUGCCUGAGUGAGUCCUGGCUCUUCUGUGGAUUCCUGUUUCCUGCUGUUGUGCACCCUGGGAGGCAGCAGAUGUUUCUGGUACAUACUGAAGUUUGAAAACUACUAGUCUAGAAAAGGCUUUCCUGUAGCAGAAAGGGGACUUGAUGUACCACCUAGAGUGUGGGGUAUAGGGACUUGGAGCUCCCCUGUAGUGAUCUGGACCCUCACUGGACUCCACCUUUGUGCCCAUAACAUAGUCAGCUCUCAGUAUUGAGGUCAGAUGAGUAAAGUGGUCUCUUUAAUACAUUUGCUCCGCUCUUUAAUGUCAAGAUUAUAGGAAUGCAUGCUUGCUCAUUUGCUCUCAAGUGCAAACAGUGGUUAUAGCUGAGCUCAGCAGAUUUCAGCCCCACUUCCUCUGUCUGAAUCAACUGUGGUAGAGGAAGAAUCAUGUCGUUUCCUGGACAAGCAGAAGUUGGCUGGCUGAGCCCAGUGCAUGCCCAUCUUCAGUGUGCCUAGGAAUCCCAUGGGUGCCAUGCAAGAAAAGUCCAUUCUGCUUCAGUAGCUCUGGGGAGGAGCCAAAGGUUUUCCUUUGAAAUCUCUUCAUGUUCUUACAAGUCAGCCCUGCAGUGGUUUGGAUGCCACUAAUGAGUCACCUCAGCUACAGGUGGAUGAAAGUGACCAAAAUGUGCAAAACAGAGAUCCUGCUGCCUGAGAACCCCAACUCAGCUUUCCCAACACUCCCCCAACCCCAUAGUUUUGCCAGAAGGAUUGGCUGUGCUCUGCGUUCCUGGACCCCUAGAACCAGAGAUAACCGCUCUUGCAAUCCCAAGGCCCCUUGUUCUGGAUGGGUAGCUAGGAACUCGGGCAGCUGACUGGAGCAGUGGUGGUCCACUAAGAGAUGCUCUGGGCCAGCACAUUGGUGUGUUGUGGCUGGGGUGGAUUGUGCUCAGGUGCACCAUCCCUGGGAAGCCUGCAGAGGAACCCUACUCCUAUCAGUCUGCUGAUUAUUAUGAUGGCUGAUUAGUCAGUACCCAGUUGUCCUGAGGGAGGAAGAAAUUGCCAUGUCACAGCCGCAUCCCUGGCCCAUGCCUCGCUUACCAACCCAGAAGCCCUGAGCCAGAGACUAGGUAGGGGACA